This 447-nucleotide ribosomal RNA is filed under the name uncultured bacterium. RNAcentral's name for it is "bacterial SSU rRNA". It matches the Rfam family "Bacterial small subunit ribosomal RNA", at positions 355 to 825 of the family's 1533-position model. The record is from RNAcentral.
UCGGGAAUUUUGGGCAAUGGGCGAAAGCCUGACCCAGCAACGCCGCGUGAAGGAUGAAGUAUUUCGGUAUGUAAACUUCGAAAGAAUAGGAAGAAUAAAUGACGGUACUAUUUAUAAGGCCCGGCUAACUACGUGCCAGCAGCCGCGGUAAUACGUAGGGACCAAGCGUUGUUCGGAUUUACUGGGCGUAAAGGGCGCGUAGGCGGCAAUUCAAGUCAUCUGUGAAAUCUCCGGGCUUAACUCGGAACGGUCAGAUGAUACUGCUUUGCUAGAGUGCAGAAGGGGCAAUCGGAAUUCUUGGUGUAGCGGUGAAAUGCGUAGAUAUCAAGAGGAACACCUGAGGUGAAGACGGGUUGCUGGGCUGACACUGACGCUGAGGCGCGAAAGCCAGGGGAGCAAACGGGAUUAGAUACCCAAGUAGUCCCUGAGCGGGCUGGCAAGGCGCAU